AUGAGAGCUUCACGAGUUCGCCGUCGGUUCCAAGCUACAUGGCAUCCACAGAAGCAGCCAGGGCUAGGUCCCGAUUGUCGAGUCCAAUGGGAACGGAGAAGACGGCGGCGUUUCCAGAGAAGGGACCGGCGAGUAUCGGCGCAAAGAAACGGCUGUCGUUCCCCGCCUCGCCGACAAAUUCGAGGAGGCACUCUGGUCCGCCGAAAAUAGACGCUAGUCCGAUCAAGAAUGUUGCAGAGAGAGAUUUUACCGGCGAGAGCA
Molecule: unclassified non-coding RNA, 261 nt
Filed under: Hevea brasiliensis (rubber tree)
Lineage: Eukaryota; Viridiplantae; Streptophyta; Magnoliopsida; Malpighiales; Euphorbiaceae
Source: RNAcentral